GGGUCUGUAGCUUAAUUGGAAAAGCACCUAGCUGGCUGCUAGGAAAAUGUCGGUUCAAAUCCGACCAGAAUCCACCA
RNAcentral lists this transfer RNA (77 nucleotides) under Oscillatoriales cyanobacterium USR001. RNAcentral describes it as "tRNA-Ala". It matches the Rfam family "tRNA". From Rfam's summary of the family: Transfer RNA (tRNA) molecules are approximately 80 nucleotides in length. Lineage: Bacteria; Bacillati; Cyanobacteriota; Cyanophyceae; Oscillatoriales. The record is from RNAcentral.